RNAcentral lists this ribosomal RNA (691 nucleotides) under Bacillus pumilus. Its description in RNAcentral is "bacterial SSU rRNA". It matches the Rfam family "Bacterial small subunit ribosomal RNA", at positions 565 to 1255 of the family's 1533-position model. The record is from RNAcentral. Lineage: Bacteria; Bacillati; Bacillota; Bacilli; Caryophanales; Bacillaceae.
GGGCUCGCAGGCGGUUUUUUAAGUCUGAUGUGAAAGCCCCCCGGCUCAACCGGGGAGGGUCAUUGGAAACUGGGAAACUUGAGUGCAGAAGAGGAGAGUGGAAUUCCACGUGUAGCGGUGAAAUGCGUAGAGAUGUGGAGGAACACCAGUGGCGAAGGCGACUCUCUGGUCUGUAACUGACGCUGAGGAGCGAAAGCGUGGGGAGCGAACAGGAUUAGAUACCCUGGUAGUCCACGCCGUAAACGAUGAGUGCUAAGUGUUAGGGGGUUUCCGCCCCUUAGUGCUGCAGCUAACGCAUUAAGCACUCCGCCUGGGGAGUACGGUCGCAAGACUGAAACUCAAAGGAAUUGACGGGGGCCCGCACAAGCGGUGGAGCAUGUGGUUUAAUUCGAAGCAACGCGAAGAACCUUACCAGGUCUUGACAUCCUCUGACAACCCUAGAGAUAGGGCUUUCCCUUCGGGGACAGAGUGACAGGUGGUGCAUGGUUGUCGUCAGCUCGUGUCGUGAGAUGUUGGGUUAAGUCCCGCAACGAGCGCAACCCUUGAUCUUAGUUGCCAGCAUUCAGUUGGGCACUCUAAGGUGACUGCCGGUGACAAACCGGAGGAAGGUGGGGAUGACGUCAAAUCAUCAUGCCCCUUAUGACCUGGGCUACACACGUGCUACAAUGGACAGAACAAAGGGCUGCAAGAC